Long non-coding RNA from Harmonia axyridis, 790 nucleotides. RefSeq lists it as uncharacterized. The record is from RefSeq and is a predicted model, not a curated record. The transcript has 2 exons. Lineage: Eukaryota; Metazoa; Arthropoda; Insecta; Coleoptera; Coccinellidae.
GAUUGGUUCAACAGGAAUGAGUUGGCACUGAAUUCGUCGAAGACAAACAUUAUGGUAUUCAGAACAAAGAACUCCCGAGUUACUCCAACUGGCACCAUAAACCUGAAUGGCAAUGAAAUUGGAACAGUCAUGUGGAAAAAACUGGGCUGAGAUUGAGUAGCAUUGGAUAUGGAAUCAGAGUGGUAUCCAGACAUAUGGAUGAGAGGACAUUGAAAAUACUGUACCACGCCAACUUUGAAUCGGUACUGAGAUAUGGGAUUGUGUUUUGGGGAUGCAGCUCCAGCAUUCAACUCCUUUUCAUUAUACAAAAAAGAACCAUAAGAUCAAUCAGGCAUAUGAAAUUUGGAGCCACCUGCAGGGGUGUUUUCAGGGAUAUGCAGAUUAUGACUAUAUAUGGGUUGUAUAUAUUUGAGUGUCUGAUGUUCUUUUUCAGGCACCAAGUUGAAUUCAGCUCUAACUUUGGUCAUGGCUAUAAUACAAGGACGACGAAUUUCAUUUACCCUUCUCAUAGGCUUACAAGUACAGAAAAAGGAACCUACUAUAUGUGCAUAAAACUAUAUAAUAAAUUACCAUCUACAUGCAGAUUAUCUAGCUUAAUAAAAUUCAAGAAUGCCAUAAAGAAACUGCUAAUUAAACUGGAACCAUAUUCACUUAGAGAUUUUCUAGAUUGUAACAACUUGUCAGAGUUUGUAUAGAUUGUAUAUAUUGUUGUUGACAUCAUUUCGCUUCUCUCUCUGUAAUUUACUGUGGGGAUGAUUUGAAAUAAAGGAAUUUAUUAUUAUUAUUAUUA